Molecule: ribosomal RNA, 187 nt
Filed under: Salmonella enterica subsp. enterica serovar Tennessee
Lineage: Bacteria; Pseudomonadati; Pseudomonadota; Gammaproteobacteria; Enterobacterales; Enterobacteriaceae
Description: partial 23S ribosomal RNA
Rfam family: Bacterial large subunit ribosomal RNA
Source: RNAcentral
GGGUUGUGAGGUUAAGCGACUAAGCGUACACGGUGGAUGCCCUGGCAGUCAGAGGCGAUGAAGGACGUGCUAAUCUGCGAUAAGCGCCGGUAAGGUGAUAUGAACCGUUAUAACCGGCGAUUUCCGAAUGGGGAAACCCAGUGUGAUUCGUCACACUAUCAUUAACUGAAUCCAUAGGUUAAUGAGG